UUUCAUUAAAUUUUCUUAGUAAUGCGUUCUUGGAUUGUUUUCUAUGUCAUGCUAGAAAUUUUCACAUAUGUUCGUGCACGAUGUUGAUGACGUCUUUCAGAGUCACGCAAUGCGCAAACUCUUGUUGACCACGUUAUCGAUCCCAAUAGCUAAUCUUCCUAGAAAUUCUUGGGUUGCAGAAUGUUUUUUCCCUAUUGCGUGUUAGAAAGUAGAAUUGUCGACAUCCAUGACGGGGAUCAGAAUCCAGUUUUGUGAGCGGAAUCGACGGAUGCACCGGUGAAUACUCGUUAUUCACCGAUGACGCGGGAUUUGGACGUCGACCCGAUGUCACGCCAUGGCUAGAAAUGGGAAGGUGUGUCGUCGAGAGGACCAAUCCGCUUCAGUUACCAUUUUUACGCGCUCUAUUCAUAGAUUAGCCGUUUUUUGCUCUUAAAAUUUAGGUUUCUCUUAAAAGAUUAACGGAUUUGCUUUGACAGGGAAAACGGCCAAGGUUGGUAAAGAACUAACCGUACAAGAGGAAAAUCAGUUAACGAAAAAUACGAUUUUAGUCCCGUUUACGUAAGUUGCGUCAUUUAUCCGGACGUUGAUUGUACGCCCAAUAGCGAAUGACGUUGUGGUCGUAAGACUGUUUACUUAUCUUUUUAAUAUUCCCAACCAACCGAAUUUUAUUUUUUCGAGACGCUGGGUUGCGCUAAUCUCUAGUCAACAUGGACCGAUCGCAGAGGAGUGAGCCAACUAUUUGGGCAUGAUAAAAUUAUGAUUUUUAGCGCCUCCGGUUCAAAAUAGACCUUCCACAACCUUGAAGGAUGCUGUUAGUUCUUUUUUUAUUUUGGGAAAAGAGUUUUUAGCAGUCCGGCAAUGCACUUCCCCCUUUGGCAAACGGUAUAAACUUGUUUUCGGCGUCCGGCUAUCCGCCCUUUCCCGCCGGACUGGCGACUGUUAACAGUCAAGUGGCGGCGGCGCUCUAUUUGGCUUCCGAAUCACGAACCUGUGUAGUAGGGCACCCAUUCUAAAAAACAAAUGCUUAAGCUUUUUUCCGCUGACGGGGAACGUUUUAUUUCUACUCCCGUCAGUCGGGGCAGAAAUUGAACUGCGUCGUCAUUUAUGCGGAGGUUCUGCGUGUCUGAAAUGCCAGACUAUGGAGUCAGGUGAAUUGCGUUUUCCCGUUCGGGCACAAUUCGAUCCAACAGCAGUAUAAUAAUGUUGUUCCUGUAUGCAUUUUAAUGGUUUGCAGUUCCAAAUCCGAAA
This is a long non-coding RNA of Daphnia carinata, 1248 nucleotides long. RefSeq lists it as uncharacterized. The transcript has 2 exons. NCBI's taxonomy places the organism in Eukaryota, Metazoa, Arthropoda, Branchiopoda, Diplostraca, Daphniidae. The record is from RefSeq and is a predicted model, not a curated record.